Long non-coding RNA from Monomorium pharaonis (pharaoh ant), 12147 nucleotides. RefSeq lists it as uncharacterized. NCBI's taxonomy places the organism in Eukaryota, Metazoa, Arthropoda, Insecta, Hymenoptera, Formicidae. The record is from RefSeq and is a predicted model, not a curated record. The transcript is spliced from 2 exons.
GGAUAAUUCCGGAAAUUCUAUUUUCACGCUCAAAUGGACUCCUUCGCCAACCGUGCGCGCAACAUACCGCAAUUAUGCAAAAUACAGUGCGAUUUGCGAUCGUAAUACGAAACUUCCCGUCUUAGACCCUACGGAAAAAGAUCCGUUUGAUUUUCCUUGCUGGGAAAAAGAUUGGGAAGCCAAUUCGUGCGAUAACUAAUUCCGACAAUUUUAUAGCUUCGAAACCCUUUAAAUAACGCUUCGAACGCUAAUUGCGGAUUGCUUUAUAUUAAUGCUUUCCAAUACGUAUGCUCUCUCGAGCGCGAACUUAACUGCGCUCAAAUUCCACGCUGAUAAAACUGUACUUUUUUUUACAGAAAAGGAUUAUUUAAAAAUCUAUACACUAUAUCAACACACACUAUAAUACGCCGCUGGCCUGUUUACUCGUUCAAAUUCAAUUUCCGGCCGCAAGGUAUUGAUUUUCUGCCGUGUCGAAAAAGUGUACGCACAUUCGCCCGGUUGCCCGUAAUACUUGCGCGUCAUGAAAAAAAAUAUUUCACGUCGCUUUGACGUCUACACAUUCGUGGACAUAAUGACACUCGCACAUAAUGCGCGGGGCAAAAUUUAGUAAAUUCUCAAAAGUAAUAUCCGCGAGUAAAUAGUGAGCCACAUAUCUCAGAUGGAAAUCGUAGCACGAUUUUUGACUACAAAAAAAGAUCAAAAAUGUACAGAAAUAUAUUUCUUUUAUCUGCAACUGUCCGAGAAAAAUCCUGUUCUGAAUAUUAUAAUCUUCUUUUAAAGUUGGAUGAUCUCUUCUCAUAUCACGUAAAAUUUUUAUCAAAUGUUAAAACGGUUAUUAAACUUUUAUUUAAUAAAAUAGUUUUGAAUUUAUACAAUUUAAGUUAAAAGUGUAUGUACAAGUGAAGAAAAACCGAGUAAGCUUUACAUUGUUUUAAAAAUUAUAUAUUUUUAUUUAUAUCUUAACAGCCUCGCUGUCGCGACACAACUUCAAAACAAAAAAAUUAUUUUAUACUUCCAAACUACUUUUUGUGCGAGUAAUGACCUCCUUUUCAGUUGUAUCAUCAUUUCCGCCUCACUCUAUAUAGUACUUUCCGGAAGAGGUUCCCUUUUGUUAGCACGCUUUAAAACAAAGAUGGACCCCGCGCUACUCUUGUGUCGACUACGUCGCAUAAAGCCGAUGCAGUUCGCAUUAAAAGCUACUGCGAAGUUAAAUUAGUUUCCUAACGAGUUACUAAAAAAUGCCGGCCAACACACUCGUGACACUUGCUAGUAUAGAAGUAUUUUACACGUGUAAAUGUUUCUAUAGUAUAUAAAAUAGUCGCGCGCCAUGGGACGCAACCUGGCGCUGACGAGACGACAUUCUUUAUUGCAGAAUUUUUAAUAUAAAACGGCAUAUAUAAUCACGGGUGAAUUAAUUCAGAAACGUAAUGGCAAAAGCAACGAGGAGAAUUUCGUCCAAUCAGUAAAUUGUGUCGGCAAAUGAAAGGGUGAUGUUCAAAUAAAGACCUUCACGGUUCACAUCUCUGGACCCGGCAGCGAGAACGCUGAUGAUGUUAGCGUUGCUCGCGAAUAAACUCGAGAGACACAAACGCAAAUAACAAAGCACACGCGAAUGAAAUAUUCUUACCGCGGACAGCAAAUCGCGGUAAUAACAAUGACAGAGAGAUGGACAGUAAAAAAAAAAAUUUAGUAGCAGAGAUGUAUACUGCGGUCAAUUUUUCGGUAUGACAUAGAAAUAAUUUAUAUAUUCGAUUUUUUUAUUAAGCGCAAAACUUUCUUUCGAAUCCAUACAAAAGGAAAGAGAUUUAUGUCGAGCAAACGAGAUGUAAAAUGUUGUUGCAAAUAAUCGGAGAUGGUUAUCACGUUUGAUUUCGACGUGACAAACCAGAUAAACGAGUGAGCGAAUUAAUAAAAAACGAAAAACAAAAAAUUCUGCAUGGCAGAGUAAGAAUCGAAUUGUAACGAGAACUCGUAAACUUUUCCCAUUUCCGUUAAUAUUACGACGGAAUGAUCUAAUGUAUAAAUCUAAUCGCGCAUAUCGCGAUAUAACGGAGCUUUUUCGCGUAAUGGCGCGCGAGGCAGAGAGGUGGACUGAUUUAUUUCGUCCGUUUGUAUCUCUUUCGAUAGAUUGUCUUUCCACGCGCGCGUAUCUUUCCCCGCUCGCUGUAUUCGUCAUUUAAUUCCACAAAAAUCAGCGCGCCGAAAGCGAAACGAUCCAACGUUUAUUCAAUCAAAAUUUGUAACGUGUUUCGCGAAGCUGUCCUACUCGUGCACGCCGGCAUAUUGGAACGCGAACGAUAUAUACGAACGCGGCGUUUAUUUUUUUAUUUCUAUUCGUUUUUCGGUUACUGUAUUUGCCGGGUGCGGGAUUAGUCGCCGGGCUCGCCGAAGAUAGAGUGAUCCCACGAUAGCAUAUCGUUCCGAUAUUCCAUUUCCUGCAUUCACAAUAUGUUAAAAAAUAUUACAUUGUUCGGCAAUAUAUUCCUGAUCCGAAAAAAAAAAGGAUAGCGCAUUACGUUUAUCUGGCUAAUAAAAUUGCCACUGAUAAGCUACUCCAUUUGAGUAUUCUCGUUACUCGCCACGAAAAUAAUUUUCACGUCGAAUCCGCCUCUAUCUAUCUAUAGAUAUCUUUUUUUUCACACGAGUUAGUUUCGAGUGUAAUUUGAAUAUAACGUGCAGAUACACUUCAAUACGAUUUAUAAAUAUUUCCUCGUGCGAUUAUCCGAGAAUAAGCUGAGCGUUGAUGAUUUUUUUAGGGAAUUAUCGGGUUAUGCAAAAAGUUUCUUUUACAGAGAUCUCACGUGAAACUCGACGAUGACACGUCAGUCAAAAGUAGGAUUAGAUACAGGUGGCACUGUACUCUUAAGCUGAACACCCCGUGUGUGGCUCUCUCUUUCCCUCCCCGGUGCGUGGAUAUACGCGGACUUCCCCAACAAUCACAGUGUGUUGGGACGAUAACGUUCGCGCGUUUGAAAUCCCGUUUAAGCCGAGAAACCAUAAUAUACUUGUAACUAUAUGCCGUUGCACGAUGCCUUGGUCCUCGUUCAUUCUUCUCCUACCGUAUAAGCGCGUCCCAUCGUCUGUAUGGCACGUAGCCGUGGUAGCAACGGUUGAUUUCCAUAAAAUUAUUGCCCAGCUUAGUAUGCCGGGCUCUUACAGCUUACAUCGCAAUGUUGUUAUAUUUUGGGCACCACCUUUUCUAACCCUAGGCUAUACGGUUUCGUAAUGAAGAGCUGCGGCAAUUAAAAUAAGAGCAAAAUAAUUAUCCUUUUUUUUUUUUUUUUCAAGCGCUACGCUUCGAAAAAGGUAGAUUAAGGUCGGUCUGAAAAUUAUCCGCCAGCAGAAAAAAAAAUUAAUCGAAAGUGCAGGAAAAAAAAUUAGAUGUAUGCGUCCGAAAGUUAAUUAGUUCAGAACAGAGAGCGUGAGUGUUCGUUGCCAGUAGCAAGGUUGUGAUUAACUAUUGGAAAACCGUUUAAUUAACGUUUUCAUCAUUUAAUUCGAGUAUAAAAGAGAUCAAGAAGACUCAACAUGUUCAAGCUUUAUCACGUAUGACCGCCUACGCAGGCGCAUCGAGAUCAAUCUUACUAAACAAUGUGUCAGUUUUUAUAUCGCUCAGCGCAGUGUCAUAAAACGCUACGUUUCUUCCAUAAAAAAUUGAUUUAUUAAGGCCAAAUAAUAAAAAAUAUAUCAAACAGCAAGAAUUAAAAUACCGCGGUAAAAUACGAUCUCCCAUCAAACUUUCAAUUAGGCGGAAGCCUUAAAUUCCCCAAAAUAAUCCAUUUUCCAUAAAAAACGUUUUCUUUUCACUUUAUUCAAUACUCAAUUCAAUUAGCGUAUGAUUUAAUUGAUUUCAAUCUACGGAAUUAUUUUAAGACCAACACAUCUCGAGUUACGAAAGGUAAGCGCCGAGAUGCAUCUUGAAAUAUAUCAAUAUCUCGAGUAAACACCCGACGGGGGCAGAUACCGCAAACGGAAUCACAACAUGUCACGGUCGUUUUAAUCGACGGAGGCUCGCACAUAUCAAUGUACACACGAUAGCGUAGCGAUAGAGCGAAGUCUUUAAUUCGACGUCGUGUAUGCCGCGGGCAGAGAAGCGGCUAAGUUUAAAUUAGUUCCGAAACAUUCGGUGCACGCUCUGAUGGUUAAUGGUUCUACCAUAGAUCAAUAAGAUCGGUGGCGGCGGCGGCGGCGGCAGCAGCGGCGGCUACAGCUGCAGCUGCAGCUGCAGCUGCGGCAAUGACGAUGCGACGAGAAAGAGCAGUUGCAGAGCGAAUUGCAGAACGUACCGCGCGUUGCGUUUCGUUACGUUGCGCUGCGCUGCACUGCAUUGCGUUGCAUUGCGUUGUCGCACCUCGCCGCGAGGCAUCCAGCUGCGAAAAGCGCCGCAGCCGCUUGACCGGAUACCCCCGCCGCGCUUCCCCUACGUGCUCGAUAUAUACCUGUUUCUCGCGAGAGCUCACGGGCGCACGGAAAGGAAAAACGUACACGAAGUCAUAAUUUCCACCUUCGAUAAGGCGCGCCUGCGUACAUACAUGCAGGCAGGCAGGCAGGUAGGCAACGGACGCGCUCGACCUUGUUACUGCACCGCGUGUAAUGCGAUAUGUCUUUAAGGGAUCCGAGAUACGUGGCGAUUAGGGAUGUUCGGGGUGUGCGCGAUCGUUGGUAUUAGAAAUAGCUUAUCGUUCGGACGAAUUUAUUACGAUAACAGGUGACUCGGUGGGAGGAUGCGUUGUCGGAACGGAGGCAGGCAAUCGGCGGCGCGCACACCACACUUACACACUGCGGAUAUUAUCGAUUUCAUAUCUUUCUACCCCGGGCGGAUGUUAUUCACCUCAUUAUCGUCGAAAUAAUGGUUAUCGUUCGAUACCGCUUUAUCGCGGAGGAUGACUUUCAAGGGAACCUUAAGGAAAUUUUGUAAGGAGCUGCAUUAAGACAACCAAGAAACUUUGGCCGCAAAACAUUUUCGAUCCGACGAUGAACAUGUUACGCAAAGCAGCUACCUCAUCAAGGUACACACUUUCAUUCGUAAAUCUUAAAAGUAUUCAGAUAAAUAUCAUCUCCCUGUUCAUCCGCGAUAAACAUUUUCCAGGAAAUUCACACGCAGAGUCAGUGUGAGGUGACUUGCUCGACCAGAUCUCCGACUGUUGUCUAACCAAUUAAUCAGUCGAUAAACGGAGGCGAUAAAAAUAAAGCUCGUAAAAAUCCCUACUUGCAACUUACUUUCAAAUUACGCUAAGCAAUUUAACUAUCGUAACUUGUUAUUUGCAUUAUAAAUAUGUAUAACAUAAUAUUAUAAAGUAUUCGACUAAUAAUGCAGGUACGUCACACGAAAAGGAAUGAAGAUGUAAACUGAAUAAAACAUUUGACUUAUUUAAAAAUUUAUCUCUAGAGAGAAUAACAUUAUACAUCUGUUUCAACUUUGUACCUAUAUUUCGUUGCUUACUAAAAAAGUAUAUAAUUCAUGAGACAACUAUAUAAAGUAUCGCGAAACUCUAACGUUUGUUCGCCUGAAAUCUAAUGAAAAAAUUCAGCCGAGUACUCGCCGAGUAGAUUUAUCUUGGAUCAGAGGGCGUUCUAUUCUGAUAAUUAGCGCCGGAUAUCGCCGCCGCGCAGGCCAACUGAUAUUAAUUGAUGCAAUUAUAAGCACACAAUUCCGGCGAUAUUCGUUCUCCAUAUAUACGAGCGUACGGAAUUUUAAGAUCGCUUGCAGAAGCAGCGGCAGCAGCAGCAGCAGCAGCAGCAAUGGCAGCAAUAUCGGGGGCGCCCAACCUGCUCGACCGGAUCCAGAGUCGCUCCUGCCGCUGCAACUGCGGCCGAUUAAUCGACCUUACCGGUUCCCGCGGUGUAUUUUUCUCACUACCACCACGCUCGGGAGAGCCAGAUAUUAUAUUCUGCCGGAUACACACUUCGGCCGACGUAAUUUAAAUCGCAAACCUCCGCCCACACCUUCUAUUUCUGGCGGGGAUAUCGCGAAUUCUUAUUCAGCAGAUGUCGCUUCUAACACCGAGAUAAUGAAAAUGAACUCGAUAAAAAAGGGGAAGGGCAAGGGGAGGGGAUAAAAAAAAGGGCAUCGCCUCUAAUGAAAUUAUAUACAUAGGACCGGACUUGAAAGAUCAGCAAAUCGACCGCGCAUAACUAUUUUCCGUGUAAGUAAGCGGUUUAUCGACAUUUCAUUUAAUCUUCCGUGAGAAACUGUAACUCGCGCGCCUGGCUUAGGGUCGCUCCCAUAAACGUUAGUGAAAAUUAACUGAGCUUUAAUUCAUUCUCCGUUUCUCUCUAGAGGCACAAAACUAGAAAGAGAGAGAGAGAGAGAGCGAAUUGAUUAAAUCUCGGUUAACUUUAAGUAAUUUUUAUGGGAAACGAGCCUUAGAUGUGUGCGAGGCAAUUAAAACAUAAAUUUAACAGAACAUUUCUGAUUUUAUAAUUUUCCUUUAUUUAUAUAUUUCUCAAUAAAUUUAUGUUACUAAAGAGAAAGUUUAAUUUAGAAACAGACAAUCCUAAGAGACUCAUUAGACUUGACUAAACCGUUAAUGUGAACUACUAUCUCCGCUUUAAUGGAAUUUCCCUUAUUGAAAAUCUAUAACAUUCAAUAAUUUAAUGAAAAAAUAUACCUAUUACUUUUAUACCUGUUACUUUUUUACUUUUAGAAUUGUAUUUAUAGAAAUUAUUUCACGUUUUUUAGUUUUGCUAUCUAUAGAAUUGUAUUAGAUAUUCAAAUUAGUCUAAUACAUAUGGGCAAUAGUAUUAGGCUACGUACGUGUACAUUCUAAUAAUAUACAUCAUCUUUCAUAAAAUCAUAUGAUUAAUGAUUAAGAUAUUGAAUGAAUUUCAUUUUUCGCUAAAUAUUAAGGACAUCAGAUUUAAAUUUAGUUCGGCUCUAAUUUUUUUGUGCUUUUAUUGUAUUUGUAAAAUAUUUUCACAUCCAAAUUUUAGAAAUUAUUUUGAAACAACUGUUUCAACUGUUUCAAAAUAAUCCCAAAAAUAAAUUUUUCUAAAAAAAAUUACAUUUUUAUUUCGAAAAAAACUGAAAACCUAAUCGCUUGAAGAAAAAACGUAUACAUAUUAGAUAUUAUAUUUAUAAAUAAAAACAAGGAUAAAGAUUAUUUUUUAAUUACUUGCGCACUAAAUCAUAUCAUUUGCGUAUGAAUUAUAAAAAUGUUACAAAUUUAACAGAUCUUUUCUAACUCCGUUGUUACUGUUAUUUAAUCAUCAACUUUGCUCUAUAACAAAAGCGCGAAUUAAUUAAACAUUUCGUAUAUACAAAAUAAUUGAUUAAUAGAGAUGAUCCGACAUCAGAAAGACAUAAUAAUCAAAUUCUCAUAAAUAAUACAGCAAUUGCUAAUGCGCACUUAGUUCGCUAUCGAAUAUAUGAUGAUAAACGUAUUACUUCGUAACAAAUCAACACUGUCAUUGGUGCUAAAAUAAUAGCGAGAACGAGCAUGAUACUGAAUGAUACUGAAAUUUUAGCGAAUUCCGAACCGCAACGAGAAACCACGAUACGCCGGUUGGUUUACGAAAUCAAUACGAUCGUCGGCGUGGUGGCCAAUAGGGUCGAUUGAACCUCGUUGUGCAGUAAAAGCUGAGUAUAAUUUCGAGACCUGUCGCUCUGUACUAUCAUUGUGGUAAUCAUCACAUAUCGUCCAUCUUCCUUCUAUUUACUAACCAACCGGUGACCAUAUCACUGCGAUAAUUGGCCUGAAUAAUGGCGCGCUACAUCAUUGUAAAUAUUAAACCGGUAUUUUAAAGCUUCUGUCGCGUGUAGCGCAACACUUUCGAGUGCGGUAGAAAAAUUAGUGCAACGCCCCAAAGAUAAAUGCAUGUUUACUCAUAAUUAUACGUCGCGUUACCGGCUCAUUUUUUAAACAAACUUAAUUUACAUCCGAUUGGCAUUUUUCAAACAGCCGCAAACUCAUUUUAUCAACAUUAUUGAUUAAUGUAAAAGUAUUUAAAAGAGGACGAGGAGUUUUCUAUGUUUAAAUAUAUGGCAAAUCGUAUGCAGUCAGCAUGUUCUACCGCGACAUGAAAAAUUCAACCGCAUUUCGGGGCUGAGCUUUAAAGCACUUUUACCGAAAUCUUGCCUUAUCCAUAUGGUAAUGUUCACUCUACGACGAGAUAGCAAAUUCGGUGCAGCAUCUCCAACUGCACAUGCGCGAAUGGAGGUCCACGUUAACACCAAUCAGAUAUCCAGAUGCGCUUAAUUGGCAAUUGCUGCGACCUUAGGACGUACGGUUGGUUUGUCGAUUAAAGGAUAACUAUCUGUAAUGAUGCAUUAGCCCGUGCCAGGUGACCGGUACGCCGAGGAAAAUGCGACAAACAUUUGCCUCUGAUACUGUCGAACCAUAAUUGUGAUAUAGGAGGUGCAUAAAUAGAGACAGGAGAUACGUGAGAUUAAUAUAUGAUUAAGAAAAUUUUAAGAAUUCGACAUUUUGAACAGAUCUCCCUCUAUCUCGAGUAAAAUCUUUGGGCCUAUAAUCCUGUACCAGAAAAAUCUCAAUUAGCGUCGAGAUGUAAGGUAUGAAAUCUUACAUUAAAAAACCGGUAUAAAAAUCCGACUCGAAGCAAAUAGUUGUCCUCGCUUCUCGCUCGAGUGAUUUAUGGACCUAAAUUAACUGGAUGUUUUACGUCGAUCUGGCAGAGUCGAGCAUAAUCCCCGAACGCUCCUUUCCCAACUUUCCUGUUGGAUCUCGACUCGCGUAGGGAAGAAUUACGUCGUCACGGAGAGACGGAGAACAUAAUCAGAAUCAACAGCGGACGGUGUCGGUGGCAGCCGUUCGCUUCACGAGUAUCGAUUUUCUUCGAUGAUCGAGUCCGCCCGGCCGGACGAACGCGCUAAUGCCGUUUGUUCGCAUCGCGCCACGUCCUCCCCUCCCAUCCCUCCGGUUUCCGUUCAUCCCCCGUUUGCCGCGCGACGAAGCUCACCGCGAGCUUUCCAAGUACGCAGCUAUGCCCGGCCGUGCUCUCGUGAAAUUUACAGACGCGAUUAAUGUCACGACUGGCUCGUCCGGCAGGCGUUCGCUUGCCUAGCGGCCGUUUGCAGGCCUAACCGUUACUAAUUUCGGAGGGAAUUAUGGCCCCGCUAUUACAUACCCGACCUAACUGGCCUGGUCGGUCCCCACGUGCCUGUGUCCGUUCGCCGUCCGUGUGUGCCGCGUGUUAACGUCGGUGCACGGCAUCCGACGUCUUACGCGAAAGGCCUGCCGUAUUAUUGACGGAGCGCUGAUUUAUCGCCGUGAUAAAGACCCCGCGUACAACAACUCCCGUCUGCGAACGAUGUCCGUGGGAUGUUAUCGUUUGCCCGUUUGCGGCCCCUCGGACUCGGACACCGAAUCUAGUACGAACGGCCAACCAAAUGCCGAUAUGCCAGAGUAGAUAAAGCCGCGCCCGCUGAUUACACGAUUACUUCGUGCCGGGAGACCAAAUCCACGCGCGCGACCUCGCGUCGACGGUAAACACACAAGCUUUUACGAGGCUCGUUCGUGGCCGUCCGCGCCGUGCCGUUCUCUCCCGUGAACGUAUAUAUCAGAGAGCUUCGGGGAAACCCGUCGGAUUACGUUUUCGAUAUUUUCGCAGCUUUCGCUCGCGCCAUCCGAGUUAUCGAACGCUCUCGAUUUUUUUAUUUUUUUUAUUUCGCCCCCUCCGUCCUCGCGCCGGGUUUUCGGCGAAACCCGAGCCACCCCACCGGACACCGCGUGGCGAAGAACAAAAUUUGCAGUGUAAUCGCAUCGCGUGUAAAGACAAUCCCACUGUUAGUUAGGCCAUGUGUGAUUUACUACGUAUUGCAAUAAAGGCCGGUAACCGCGCGCGAUGUUAUCAUCGCGCCGUUUGUCUAGUUACACAGCCAACUGAGGAAGAGAGAGAGAGAGAGAUAGAGAGAGAGAAGAGGGAGAGUUUACCGAAACAACUAGCACUACGUUUCUGGUUUAGAGGAUUAAUGGCCUUAUGUUAAGGCUAUCUUGAUUAUGACGCGAUGUCCACGAUUUAAUUAAUUUAUUGACGGACAAGUAUCACGCGAUUUACGGGCUCCGAAACGAGACGGCGUCGCAACUGCAAUACAAAAUCGAAGAAAGAAAAUUAUUUGUGUACGCUUGUGUCACUGAAAAUUCAUAUUUACCGCGAGUCUCGCAUCGGAUCUUUUGAAAGCGUUUCGGUAUCCAGAUAUGUUUCUUUCCUGACGUUCCUCGGGGGAAAAUCUGUUUGCCCGUAUUCUCCGCUGUUACUCUUAGUACAAGUUUCUCAGACGCGAUAUACCACUUUUUUUUUUACGUAUUCAAGUUACAAAUAUUGCUGCAUAACCUGCUCCCCGAGAUGUGUGUAUACCUCGCGUAAGCAAUUUUUCUAAAAAUGACAAUCUCAACUUCGACAUACAAAACUGCGGACGUCGAGAACACGAUGAGAAUUUUUUAAACCGUCGCCAUUUUUAUGCUCUUUGAAGCAUAAAACGUCCAAGUCUGGCGACGGAGAAAGCCGAGCACCCGCAUAAAUUAUGCAUCCGAAAGGGUAAAAUUCUCUGCUGCGCAAACUUUGGGCUUGCUACGCUCUCGACGCCGCGAGAUCGUAUUUGUAAAAUUCAACUGAUAUUAAUGAGCAAAGCCGACCCUGGUGCUUAAGAAGAAUUUUCUUACAAUAUUUCGCGACCUAGAACCAAAUAUAUAGCGUAGUAGACGCUGGAUAUAUCGCAUAAUAGUGAUGUAAUAUUACUGGCGCAAACACUUUAUCAUCUCGAUAACAAAUACAUUUCUUCAAAGUAAAUAUAUAUUAUCUAGAAACAUCAAUUCCAUUUUUAUCCUUACGAUUCAUCCUUUUCUUAUUUGUUUACCUGUUACCGUUCCGUAAAUAGCUGAAUAUUGAUUUUCGCGAUUUUCAGUCGACUAAAAUGCGUAGCAUUAUAUUCUCCGUUAACUAUAACGAAUUGUAAUUAAUCGCAACGGUUUACGAUACAAUGUUCAUUUCUUGACUCGUGUAAUUAAAAUUAAUUAUGGCUGUUUGCAGCGGAGCGGACAACGCAAGAGUUAAUUAAUUGCUCGCGAUGUAUUGUUUCACCGCAUCGGGUAAGUCUUUACGGCACUUCUCGUAUCUUUGCUGCCAAAAGACCCUUUUUCCUUUGCCCGGCUUUUACGUCCGGACCCUUACGUCGGAAAUGUUCUCAAAUUGUGCUACGAAGACGUGAAUUCUAGCGGUAUGUCAAACAAUUGCGCUAUGCUAUCGCAAUAAAACACGAAAUUGGCAAGAUAUUUCACGGAAACUAAUAUAAAAUAAGUUUUCAUUGCGAUGAAAACGGACGACAUACUACAAUUACGAAAGUUUGCAGAGUUUCCAUCAUUUUUUUUUAAUCGGAUAUCCGUGACGAUUCAUUAUUCAAAAAAUUCGGCGGGGAGUUUUAAUAUAAUCAGAGUUCGCUUCACUUCUGUCUGGCGUCAAAGUUUUCUGGCAUUAUAAUUUUUCACGCUUAAUGCAACAAACUUUAGUUGACGCGCAGGUGUGUAGUAUUCGAGGAUCUCUUCUAUAAAACUUCCUAACCCGGUAACACCGACGUGCGUUAACAUUUUGUAAAUAAGAAGUUGUCACCAUCAUUCAUCUGGUCGGCUAUUCACCGAAACCCUCCAUCUUCCGGAUAACGUUAUUACCAAAAAGUAAUAUAGAAAAUGAAACAUGCAAUACAAAAGACUGACGCUACGCGCUUAUACAUAAAUGUAAACUACAGAAAAAUAAGAAGCGAUUAUUAAAAAAAUAUAAAGAAAAGAAAAAUAAAUUAAUAAUAUAAAUACAAAAAUUCCUUUUAGCAUUUUCCAGGCGUACUUUUUCAAUAGCAUUUUUGCAUUAACGUUAUAUACGUUACUGUCUCGGGAAGAUUUAAAACAACAUAAACAUAUCGUAAAUAUAAAUUUAUCGAGCUUGCGAAAAAGUCUGAUUGAAAAAUAUUGUUCAACUGAUAUUGUACUUGCACAAUCAAUGCAGUAUAUUCCAGCAAACUCCACUCGGUUUGAACAUAAAAUACUUAUAGUUACAGAACGUUUCGGAACAACUCCGAGUAAACUUAACAUAAAAGAAAAUUGUAAAAUGCAGAUCUUUUGAGGGAAAGUUAUUUUAGAAAGUCGAACGAUACCAGCUGCGCAAACAAUAGCAUCCCAAAAGUUCGCGGCACGAAAA